This 1634-nucleotide ribosomal RNA is filed under the name Gammaproteobacteria bacterium. RNAcentral describes it as "partial 23S ribosomal RNA". It matches the Rfam family "Bacterial large subunit ribosomal RNA", at positions 1 to 1697 of the family's 2925-position model. The record is from RNAcentral. Lineage: Bacteria; Pseudomonadati; Pseudomonadota; Gammaproteobacteria.
GGUCAAGUGAAAAAGUGCGUACGGUGGAUGCCUUGGCGGCAAAAGGCGAUGAAGGACGUGGUAGUCUGCGAUAAGCCCCGGUCAGCUGACAAACAAGCAUUUGACCCGGGGAUUUCCGAAUGGGGAAACCCGCCCGCUACGGCGGGCAUCGGCGUCUGAAUACAUAGGGCGCCCGAAGCAAACCCGGAGAACUGAAACAUCUAAGUACCCGGAGGAAAAGAAAUCAACCGAGAUUCCCCCAGUAGCGGCGAGCGAACGGGGACCAGCCCUUAAGCCCGGGCGAGGCCAGUGGAAGUGUCUGGAAAGGCACACCAUAGAAAGUGACAGUCUUGUACACAAAAGCCUCGUUCGGGUGAAAUCGAGUAGGACGGAACACGUGAAAUUCUGUCUGAACAUCGGGGGACCAUCCUCGAAGGCUAAAUACUCUUUGCCGACCGAUAGUGAACCAGUACCGUGAGGGAAAGGUGAAAAGAACCCCGGGAGGGGAGUGAAAUAGUACCUGAAACCGUUCGCAUACAAGCAGUGGGAGCCCCUUCGGGGGUGACCGCGUACCUUUUGUAUAAUGGGUCAGCGACUUACUUUCAGUGGCAAGCUUAACCGUAUUAGGGGAGGCGCAGGGAAACCGAGUCUUAAAUGGGCGCACAGUCGCUGGAAGUAGACCCGAAACCGGGCGAUCUAGCCAUGGCCAGGAUGAAAGCGAGGUAACACUCGCCGGAGGUCCGAACCCACCUAUGUUGAAAAAUGGGGGGAUGAGCUGUGGCUAGGAGUGAAAGGCUAACCAAGCCCGGAGAUAGCUGGUUCUCCUCGAAAUCUAUUUAGGUAGAGCCUCGUGUCUUACUCCAGGGGGUAGAGCACUGUUAUGGCUAGGGGGUCAUCCCGACUUACCAAACCAUUGCAAACUCCGAAUACCUGGAAGUGUAAUCACGGGAGACACACGGCGGGUGCUAAGGUCCGUCGUGGAAAGGGAAACAGCCCAGACCGUCAGCUAAGGUCCCCAAAUCAUGGCUCAGUGGGAAACGAUGUGGGAAGGCACAGACAGCUAGGAGGUUGGCUUAGAAGCAGCCACCCUUUAAAGAAAGCGUAAUAGCUCACUAGUCGAGUCGGCCCGCGCGGAAGAUUUAACGGGGCUAAGUCAUGUACCGAAGCUGCGGAUGCCGAAAGGCAUGGUAGAGGAGCGUUCUGUAGGCCGUUGAAGGCGGACCGGGAGGUGUGCUGGAGGCAUCAGAAGUGAGAAUGCUGACAUGAGUAACGAUAAUGCGGGUGAAAAACCCGCACGCCGUAAGCCCAAGGUUUCCUGCGCAACGUUAAUCGGCGCAGGGUGAGUCGGCUCCUAAGGCGAGGCCGAAAGGCGUAGUCGAUGGAAAACAGGUUAAAAUUCCUGUACUUCGUGUUGUUGCGAUGGGGGGACGGAGAAGGCUGAAUCAUCCGGGCGUUGGUUGUCCCGGUGCAAGUGCGUAGGGAGCGCCCUCUGGAAAAUCCGGGGGCGCAAUUCCGAGACACGAUGCCGAGCUCCUUUUGGAGCGAAGUGAUUGAUGCCAUGCUUCCAGGAAAAGCCUCUAAGCUUCAGACAACACGAAACCGUACCCCAAACCGACACAGGUGGGCGGGGAGAGAAUCCCAAGGCGCUUGAGAGA